RNAcentral lists this long non-coding RNA (1634 nucleotides) under Sitophilus oryzae (rice weevil). Its description in RNAcentral is "uncharacterized LOC115877707, transcript variant X5". The record is from RNAcentral. Lineage: Eukaryota; Metazoa; Arthropoda; Insecta; Coleoptera; Curculionidae.
ACAUCUAAAUAAAAGGAGACGAAACAAUUUACAUUUUACCGCGAUCACGAACCGUGUUGCACAAAAAUCGAUGAUGCCAAUUUUAAGUGACCGUUGGUAGAUUUCGGCUGAUUACGGUUUGAGUUCUAAAUGCUAUUGUCAUUACAAGGUCAUUAGACUAAAUAUUUGUGUAGAUAUAUAAUUUUAAUUAUAAUACAUUAAUUAUACUAGGAUUAUACCUUUGAAAUUAUUAUUAGUUUUCUAAUUAAAUUAUAUUAAAAUUACGAUUAAAAUAUAUUAGGGAAAUUACUAAAACAAUCCGGCAUCGCUACGGAUUAAUUUUUACUACGAAUUGUCGGAAUCUGUAGGAAUUACGCUGACAUUUGACGUAUUCAUUCAACUUUUGUCCAACGGAGCAUUGUUGCGAGUUUUCUGCGACCGUUGGAAGUGUUUGUGGAUUUCGGACAACUUUCGAAUAAUUAUUAGUGUUUAUUGCAAAGAAAACUAUUUAAAGUAGUUUUUUAACUAUCUACAAUGGUUCGCCAGUGCAUAGUUUGUGAAAGGUGGACUAUUCUAACUCCUGAUUGAUAUUUGGACGGUAAGUGUUAUUACAUUUUUUUACCUUUAGCAAUGCCUUUACAGUAGCGUAUCUAAGUACUUUUAGUUAUAAGUAGAUUAUUACAAAAAUACGUAUAUUUUCUUAUUUGCUGGCGUUUUUGAUUGUGAAAUUAGACUUAUCCUCAGUUAGACCUCAGGCAAAACCUUGGCAAAACCGAUCUACGUUUUAAGUCAAUUAUUUUAAGUAUUUGUCCAUUUCGCUGUUACAGUUGGUGGUAAAAAAUGCUCAGGGCGUUCCUAUAAAUACUGAGCUUAGACAAUGAUCGAUUUCACUCUUGAAUUUGAAAAAUCAAACUAACGUGUGUCCAAAUUUGUUCUGAUGAUUUUGAUAAGAGCAAUAUUAUGAUCGCCGAAUUAACUGAUCGAAGGCAAAUAAGACCAAAUUCUGAGCCUCAAAUAGAUAGUACCAUUUUUGCUGGGGCUUUAUCAUACAGGUUUUCUUCUAGUUUGUACCGCCACCCAAAAAAUGUUUUAGGUAAAUGAACCUCCAGACCAGCUGAGGGACUAGAGAAGGUCCCUACCUAGUCCCGCGAUUGGCAGUUUGGCUGGCCCCUCAAAUUUGAUUUUGCCUAAAAUCAUACAAGAUAAACUAGCCCUUCUCAAGAAGCCCUUCCCUCAAAACAACAGAAACGGCAUUGGAAAAAGAAGUUGGAAUUAACCAGUAUGUGCUCUUUCAUAGUAAGACAAUCCUCAUCUUCUGAUCUCUCAAUAGUUGGAUAUUUAUUAUCUCAAGAAAGUCGUCAAAGUAUCAGAAAAAGAAAGAAGUAUGUUAAUGAGGCAUUAUAAUGAUAUUAUGUAGAAAUUUAAGUCUUGUAAAAAUUUGGAAACAAAGAAAAUGAAAAAUACAUACUUUACAAAUAGGUCUUAGAAGAUUGAAAAAUAAAAUAAUAUCAAUGCAUCAGUUAAUUGAUUACUUAAAAGAAAAAUCUUUGAUAAGUGAAUCAACUGAAUUGACGAUUCAGGUUUCCUUAGCUGAACCAGUACAAAGUAUUUUUGAAAGAAUGUUAAAAGGACCUGCCACACAAAAAUCCAAUCUU